AUGGCACUGCAACUGCUUGCUCAUGUGCGCACCUCCAUGACAAUUAUCCCUCCUGAUUAUGUUGGAUGUCUGAACAAGAUUGUCCAGCAUAUAAGACUACCUUAUUCUGCACAUCCCCCAACAGAUUGCCGCCGCCCCUCCCCUCCCGACCUUCUACCGCGGCAGCGGCCUGGGAGCGCCGCCGCCGCCGCCCCUCCCCUCCCAACCUUCUACCGCGGCAGCGGCCUGGGAGCGUCGCCGCCCCUCCCUUCCCGGCCUUCUUCCGCGGCAGCGGCCUGGAAGCGCCGUCGCCCCUCCCCUCCCGGCCUUCUUCCGCGGCGGCGGCCUGGGAGCGAUGCCGCCCCUCCCCUCCCCGCUUUCUCCCGCGGCGACGGCCUGGGAGCGCCACCGCCCCUCCCCUCCCGGCCUUCUUCCGCGGUGGCGGCCGGCAGCGACGCCGCCCCUCCGCUCCCCGUGUUCUUCCGCGGCGGCGGCCAAGCAGUGACGCCGCCCAUCGCCUCUCGGCCUUCUUCCGCGGCAGCAACCGAGCAACACCUCCCCCACCAGCAUAUCGUCCUUCUUCCACGGCAGCAGCUCGAUGUCGAUUGGUGCUGCCUCGACAUCAAACCAAUUCGAGCGAGGAGGACCGUGCGCAAGGUUCCUUCAUCCACGACAGCUACUUGGAUUAAGUCUGCAACGACCUUCAGAGCAAAUCCUCCGUCUCCGUUCACCUUGAGCAAUGUCCAGACCACUCAUGAACUUCUGAAGGGCAAGUGGACUGCACGGGUGAACGCGAAAGUUGUGCAGACGAACGAGAAGGGAACUUCCUCCUACAAAUGCAAGAAAUCACUUCAACACGAGGAAAUGACGUUCAACAGAUACAAAAUGCCACGCAUAAUUGGCAACCCAGGGAACAACUACUUUCAGAAGAGUAAAGCUUCUUCUGAAAGAGAAACUGGCUGGGUUACCCGUGAGAUUCCUCGAGGAUUCUUCAUGACAACAAACAGGGUGCAGUACUCUCCGGAAGAGGAUUUUUCCCAGGGAGAAGAGAUAGUCGAGGAUGACGACUACGUCACAUUCGUGUGGGAGGGCACUCACCGACAGGAGGAUGAAGAUGACUACGAUGAAGAUGAGCCAAUAACAUUUCUCAACCCAGAGUAUAAGCACGAGUUCACUACGUUUGGACAGCAUGUUCGAAUAGACAAUGAUGAUGCAGUUGAACACGAUGUUGCAGCAGAUGAUGAUUAUGACUACGAUGAUGUGCCACCGCUGCAAAAUUUUCAAACCAAUCCACUGAGCCAUCGUCACAACACUGGAUUACCACCACGUCCACCUGCUGCACCCCAAAACAGAGCUCAGCGUCCACCUGCUGCACCGAAAAAUAGAGCUCCAAGCAGAGCUGCUGCAUCAACUUCGACACUGCGACCACCAACGGUGCCUCGGUCAAAAGUCAAAAGCAGGUACAAAUCCUCCUCACUAUUGCCGCCGCGAGAUCCUCAACUACACAGAUCUGCUAUAACCCCGCCAUGUCCAAUACAACCCGGCGAGCUGCAAACACCAUCGGGUGAACGACUCUACACACAUGAUAAAAACAUGCCGCUGAACCUCAUACCUGCCGCUGGAAUGAAGUUCACCACGUACGACAAGGCAUGGGACUUUUACAACAAUUAUGCAAGAUGUGCAGGGUUUGGCAUACGCAAGAGGGCAAAACACAGGACAAAUGCCUACAUUGUCUGCUCAAGAGAAGGGACGCACAAGCAGACUGUGUCAGAUUAUCACCGGAAACGUCAGAAGACAUAA
RNAcentral lists this ribosomal RNA (1779 nucleotides) under Triticum aestivum (bread wheat). RNAcentral's name for it is "partial small subunit ribosomal RNA". The record is from RNAcentral. Lineage: Eukaryota; Viridiplantae; Streptophyta; Magnoliopsida; Poales; Poaceae.